GUUAACGUAGCUUAAAAUUAAAGCAAAGCACUGAAAAUGCUUAGAAGGGCUCUACCCCGUAAACA
RNAcentral lists this transfer RNA (65 nucleotides) under Mesechinus dauuricus (Daurian hedgehog). RNAcentral describes it as "tRNA-Phe". It matches the Rfam family "tRNA". From Rfam's summary of the family: Transfer RNA (tRNA) molecules are approximately 80 nucleotides in length. Their secondary structure includes four short double-helical elements and three loops (D, anti-codon, and T loops). Further hydrogen bonds mediate the characteristic L-shaped molecular structure. tRNAs have two regions of fundamental functional importance: the anti-codon, which is responsible for specific mRNA codon recognition, and the 3' end, to which the tRNAs corresponding amino acid is attached (by aminoacyl-tRNA synthetases). tRNAs cope with the degeneracy of the genetic code in two manners: having more than one tRNA (with a specific anti-codon) for a particular amino acid; and 'wobble' base-pairing, i.e. permitting non-standard base-pairing at the 3rd anti-codon position. Lineage: Eukaryota; Metazoa; Chordata; Mammalia; Eulipotyphla; Erinaceidae. The record is from RNAcentral.